Eucalyptus grandis is the source of this 2810-nucleotide RNA transcript. It is a transcript of the gene named 5-methyltetrahydropteroyltriglutamate--homocysteine methyltransferase, with no coding region annotated. The record is from RefSeq and is a predicted model, not a curated record. The transcript has 12 exons. NCBI's taxonomy places the organism in Eukaryota, Viridiplantae, Streptophyta, Magnoliopsida, Myrtales, Myrtaceae.
CGUGCGGGCGUGCGGAUUUGCGGUUCUAUAAAUAGAUGGGCCAAGUCUCUCUCCACUCCCGCGCGCCGUCCAUCCAAUCUCUCCGCCUCAUUUCAGUUGACUCUCUCCACUUCCGCCACUCUCCCGCCCGCAUCAGCACCGGCACCGGCACCGGCACCGGCACCCGCCGCCGCCGCCUCUCCGUCCUCCGCUUCGCUCUCCGUCCGCCUCCGGUCAGAGCUAUGGCGUCCCACAUCGUUGGCUAUCCUCGCAUGGGGCCCAAGAGAGAGCUGAAGUUCGCGCUGGAGUCUUUCUGGGAUAGGAAGAGCAGUGCUGAGGAGUUGCAGAAGGUGGCAGCUGACCUGAGGGCAUCGAUAUGGAAGCAGAUGGCUUCUGCCGGAAUCAAAUACAUUCCCAGCAAUACUUUCUCUUACUAUGAUCAGGUGUUAGAUACCACAGCUAUGCUGGGUGCUGUUCCUCCCAGAUAUGGCUGGAAUGGGGUGAGAUUGAAUUUGACACCUACUUCUCCAUGGCGAGGGGUAAUGCCUCUGUCCCAGCUAUGGAAAUGACCAAGUGGUUCGACACCAACUACCACUAUAUUGUCCCUGAGCUAGGACCAGAUGUUAAGUUCUCUUAUGCAUCUCAUAAGGCAGUUGAUGAGUUCAAGGAGGCCAGAGCUCUUGGAGUUGAUACGGUUCCAGUCCUUGUUGGCCCUGUUUCCUACUUGUUGCUUUCCAAACCUGCCAAGGGUGUUGAGAAAUCCUUUUCUCUUCUCUCCCUUAUCGGAAAGAUUGUUCCAAUCUACAAGGAGGUUAUUGCUGAACUGAAGGCAGCAGGUGCCACCUGGAUACAGUUUGAUGAGCCAACUCUUGUGAAGGAUCUCGAUUCUCACCAAUUGCAAGCAUUUACUCAUGCCUACUCAGAGCUAGAGUCAUCCCUGUCUGGCCUGAGUAUUCUUAUCGAGACAUACUUUGCUGACGUGCCUGCAGAGGCGUACAAGACACUCACCUCUUUGAAAGGCAUUGCAGGCUUUGGAUUUGACCUAGUUCGUGGAACGAAGACCCUAGAUUUGGUUAAAGGUGGAUUUCCUUCUGGAAAAUAUCUUUUUGCUGGAGUAGUAGAUGGAAGAAACAUUUGGGCUAACGAUCUGGAUUCAUCUCUCAAAACCCUGCAGGCCCUUGAGGGCGUCGUUGGAAAAGAUAAGGUCGUUGUUUCAACAUCCUGUUCUCUUCUUCACACUGCCGUGGACCUAGUAAAUGAAACUAAAUUGGAUAAAGAGAUCAAGUCAUGGCUUGCAUUUGCUGCUCAAAAAGUUGUUGAAGUAAAUGCCUUGGCCCAGGCAUUAUUUGGACUGAAGGAUGAGACUGUUUUCUCUGCAAAUGCUGCCGCCCUAGCUUCGAGAAAGUCAUCCCCGAGGGUGACAAAUGAGGCUGUCCAAAAGGCUGCUGCUGCUCUAAAGGGCUCUGAUCACCGCCGGGCCACAAAUGUGAGUGCCAGGCUAGAUGCUCAGCAGAAGAAACUGAACCUUCCAAUUCUUCCCACCACCACCAUCGGCUCAUUCCCUCAGACAAUGGAGCUUAGAAAAGUACGCAGGGAAUACAAGGCCAAAAAGAUUUCCGAGGAUGAUUAUGUCAAGGCUAUCAAGGAGGAGAUCAGCAAAGUUGUCAAGCUUCAGGAAGAGCUUGACAUUGAUGUUUUGGUACAUGGAGAGCCUGAGAGGAAUGAUAUGGUUGAGUACUUUGGGGAGCAAUUGUCUGGUUUUGCCUUCACUGUCAAUGGGUGGGUACAAUCUUACGGGUCACGAUGUGUUAAACCACCUAUCAUCUAUGGUGAUGUCAGCCGUCCCAAGGCUAUGACAGUCUUUUGGUCUUCAAUGGCUCAAAGCAUGACAAAACGUCCCAUGAAGGGAAUGCUCACUGGUCCUGUUACCAUUCUGAACUGGUCUUUUGUAAGAAAUGACCAACCAAGAUUUGAAACCUGCUAUCAAAUUGCUCUGGCUAUUAAGGACGAGGUUGAGGAUCUUGAGAAAGCCGGUGUCACUGUUAUUCAAAUUGAUGAGGCUGCAUUAAGAGAGGGUUUGCCUCUUAGGAAGUCCGAGCAGGCUUUCUAUCUUGACUGGGCUGUUCAUUCAUUCAGGAUCACUAAUUGUGGUGUUAAAGAUACUACCCAGAUCCAUACUCACAUGUGCUAUUCAAAUUUCAAUGACAUCAUCCACUCGAUAAUCAACAUGGAUGCUGAUGUGAUCACCAUUGAGAACUCCAGAUCAGAUGAGAAGCUGCUCUCAGUUUUCCGUGAAGGAGUGAAAUAUGGUGCUGGCAUUGGUCCGGGUGUCUAUGACAUUCAUUCGCCCAGAAUUCCAUCCACAGAAGAAAUUGCUGAUAGAAUUAACAAGAUGCUUGCGGUCCUUGAGAGCAACAUUCUUUGGGUCAACCCCGAUUGUGGCCUCAAAACCCGCAAAUACUCUGAAGUUAAGCCUGCUUUGAGCAACAUGGUUGCCGCCGCCAAGCUCCUCCGCAGCCAGCUUGCCAGUGCUAAGUGAGUUUACUAGGUAAUUAUGAGAUGUUAGUGAUCCUUGUGAUGUGAAGGUUCCGUCGAAAGCUCAAAUAAGUGGCCCCCCCUCCCUUCCUUUUUUAGCGAGAUGAACAUUCCACAUUUUUGUCUUUGUUUUUUUUUCUUCACGUUUCACAAGUUGGUCAUGUAUACAGAGUACUCGUACUUGUACUGGAGUAGGUUUUCUCUCUAUUUCUCUGUACUCUGGAUUUAUCGUUCUCUCUGACGGCCCCAACCCCUUUAAAAAAAUAAAAAUAAAUAACACUUGAGGGAAUUUAUCA